Molecule: ribosomal RNA, 525 nt
Filed under: Eurypogon japonicus
Lineage: Eukaryota; Metazoa; Arthropoda; Insecta; Coleoptera; Artematopodidae
Description: partial 16S ribosomal RNA
Rfam family: Bacterial large subunit ribosomal RNA (bases 388-525)
Source: RNAcentral
CAUGUCUUUUUGAUAAUAAUUUAAAGUCUAACCUGCCCACUGAUUUUUUUUGAAGGGCUGCAGUAUUUUGACUGUGCGAAGGUAGCAUAAUAAUUAGUUUUUUAAAUGAAAACUAGAAUGAAUGGUUGGACGAGAUAUAGACUGUCUCUUUAUUAAUUUUUUAGAAUUUUAUUUUUGAGUUAAAAAGCUUAAAUUUUUUUUAAAGACGAGAAGACCCUAUAGAGUUUAAUAUUUUACUUUUAUUUUUAAUUAAGUAUUAAAUUUAAAUUAUUAGUAGUUUAUUUGGUUGGGGUGACAUAUAGAUUUAUUUAACUCUAUUAUUAUUUUUUCAUUAAUUAAUGUUUAAUUGUUCUUUUUUUAAAAAUUUUUAGAUUAAAUUACCUUAGGGAUAACAGCGUAAUUUUUUUGGAUAGUUCAAAUUGAUAAAAAAGAUUGCGACCUCGAUGUUGGAUUAAAGUUAAUUUUUGGUGUAGUAGCUUAAUUGAUUAGGUCUGUUCGACCUUUAAAACUUUACAUGAUCUGAGU